RNAcentral lists this ribosomal RNA (259 nucleotides) under uncultured bacterium. RNAcentral describes it as "partial 16S ribosomal RNA". It matches the Rfam family "Bacterial small subunit ribosomal RNA", at positions 524 to 777 of the family's 1533-position model. The record is from RNAcentral.
UACGUAGGGUGCGAGCGUUGUCCGGAAUUAUUGGGCGUAAAGAGCUUGUAGGCGGUUUGUCGCGUCUGCUGUGAAAAUCCGGGGCUCAACCCCGGACUUGCAGUGGGUACGGGCAGACUAGAGUGUGGUAGGGGAGACUGGAAUUCCUGGUGUAGCGGUGAAAUGCGCAGAUAUCAGGAGGAACACCGGUGGGCGAAGGCGGGUCUCUGGGCCGAAUACGUGACGCUGGGGACGCGAAAAGCGUGGGGAGCAAACAGGG